UACGGAGGGUGCGAGCGUUGUCCGGAAUCACUGGGCGUAAAGGGCGCGUAGGCGGCCUGAUAAGUAGGGGGUGAAAUCCUGCGGCUUAACCGCAGGGCUGCCUUCUAAACUGUCAGGCUGGAGCACAGUAGAGGCAGGUGGAAUUCCCGGUGUAGCGGUGGAAUGCGUAGAGAUCGGGAAGAACAUCAGUGGCGAAGGCGGCCUGCCGGGCUGUUGCUGACGCUGAGGCGCGACAGCGUGGGGAGCAAACAGG
Molecule: ribosomal RNA, 253 nt
Filed under: uncultured bacterium
Lineage: Bacteria
Description: partial 16S ribosomal RNA
Rfam family: Bacterial small subunit ribosomal RNA
Source: RNAcentral